UGUGGCCUAUUGCAUAAAAUUUAUUUUUAAAUUCGCAUUAUGUUUGGAACUAGUGUUCGUGUAGAAUAUAUUAGUUGCAUAUAUAUUUUACUAGGUGUUAUAUUUUUUUAGAAUAUUUCUGGUAUUUUUUAGCCAGAAAUAUACAGGCAUGUAUUUUUCUGUAGUAGUUUAAAAAAAUGGAUACUCUCCCGUACUGCGCAGACGGGCUGCACAGUGGCCCAGGAGGGGACUCGGCCGCGACUAGCAAGUGCGGGCCCAGCGCAGCUGGGGCCGACCGAGCGGCCCAGCGCACCGAGCGCCCCAGACCCUGGCGUUUUGUUUUUUUCCUCUCUUCAUUUUUCUGUAUCGCUGACGAGCCGACCCCACAUGUCAUCUUCCCCGUUGUGCUGUGUUCUUCGUGGAGAUCGUUCCCGAUCCGGACUCGAUUGAUUUGAUCAAUCUAUUUCCCCAUCGACUGCAGAAUCACCCUAUAAGAAAUCCCCAUGUCCUAGUUCACCGAUUUUUGGCACAAAAAAUAAAUCAAAGUCUCCCUUACCAUGGAGCUUCCGUUGGAACUCGCCGGAGCUGUCACAGAGGAUCCGCCGCCGGCCGCACAGGAUCCACCACCGCCGCCCGGAGAGCCGCUGGAGGAGCCCCGCCGCCUAACCCUUUCCGUCUCCGGAGAACCACUGAAGAAGCCCAUGUCUGAGACAGUCGCCAUCGUCCCUUCCCUGUUGCUCGUGGUGAGCACAUGAGCAGGAUCCAAUUCGGCCAAUCCCAGCGCGACACUUGCCGCUACAGGCUCCGGUUUUGAUGUGUUUAUUUUUAGGCAGAUUCUCGCUCAAAUUUUAAAACAUGUUUAACUAUUAGCUGGUUUGCCCGAUUUAGGAAUUAUUUUUCCUAUGAACUCAGAAUAACAAGUACAAUAUGAUAGGACCAAUAGUUUUCACGUUAGCGAUGUUUAAAAUUUAAGUUGGACCAGAUUUAGUUUAAACCUACCUGAGACCAUAACUUCCAAAUCAUUC
Molecule: long non-coding RNA, 1004 nt
Filed under: Hordeum vulgare
Lineage: Eukaryota; Viridiplantae; Streptophyta; Magnoliopsida; Poales; Poaceae
Description: long non-coding RNA (HVUL_LNC015477)
Source: RNAcentral